Molecule: ribosomal RNA, 460 nt
Filed under: uncultured bacterium
Lineage: Bacteria
Description: partial 16S ribosomal RNA
Rfam family: Bacterial small subunit ribosomal RNA
Source: RNAcentral
CCUACGGGUGACAGCAGUGAGGAAUAUUGGUCACUGGACGAGAGUCUGAACCAGCCACGUAGCGUGAAAGCUGAAUGCCCUAUGGGUUGUAAGCUUCUUUUAUAUGGGAAUAAAACGUUCCAAGUGUGUGAUUUUGUAUGUACCAUAUGAAUAAGGAUGGGCCAACUCCGUGCCAGCAGCCGUGGUAAUACGGAGGAUCCGCGCGUUAGCCGGAUUGAUUGGGUUGAACGGGAGCGUAGGUGGAUUGUUAAGUCAGUUGGGAAAGUUUGCGGCUUAACCGUAAAAGUGCAGUUGAAACUGGCCGUCUUGAGUACAGGAGAGGUGGGCGGAAUUCGUGGUGUAGCGGUGAAAUGCUUAGAUAUCACGAAGAACUCCGAUUGCGAAGGCAGUUCACUGGACUGCAACUGACACUGAGGCUCGAAAGUGUGGGUAUCAAACAGGAUUAGAUACCCUAGUAGUC